This 484-nucleotide ribosomal RNA is filed under the name uncultured bacterium. Its description in RNAcentral is "partial 16S ribosomal RNA". It matches the Rfam family "Bacterial small subunit ribosomal RNA", at positions 28 to 507 of the family's 1533-position model. The record is from RNAcentral.
GUUGAACGCUGGCGGCAGGCCUAACACAUGCAAGUCGAGCGGAUAGAGGGAGCUCGCGCCUGGCUGCAGCGGCGGACGGGCGGGUAAUGCAUAGGAGUCUGACCUGCCUUGGGGGAUAACGUCAGGAAAGGGGCGCGGAUGCCGCAUACGUCCAGAGGUAGAACGGGGGGGAUCUUUGGACCUAGCGCUAUUUGCUGAGCCUAGGUCGGAUUAGCUAGUUGGUGAGGUAAGGGCCUACCAAGGCGACGAUCCGUAACUGGCCUGAGAGGGUGAUCAGUCACACUGGAACUGAGACACGGUCCAGACUCCUACGGGAGGCAGCAGUGGGGAAUAUUGCACAAUGGGCGAAAGCCUGACCCAGCCACGCCGCGUGUGUGAUGAAGGUCUUCGGAUUGUAAAGCACUUUUAGUUGGGAAGAAGAGCAGUAAGUUUAUCCAUUGCUGUCUUGACGUUACCUACAGAAUAAGCACCGGCUAACUUCGUG